GUGCACCAGUCGCGAAUCCUUCGCAAUGCAGGAAACUGCGACGAGGGAACUCCAAGUGCCUACGCUCAGCGUAGGCUGUUCUCAAGCCUAGAAAGCUUGAGGAGUAAGGGCUGGGUAAGACGGGUGCCAUCUGUGGUAGCAGUCAAUAGAUUCGAUUUGUUACUGCAAGGCAUAAGCCGCCGCGGUAAUACCCGCAGCCCAAGUGGUGGCCGCUUUUAUUGGGCCUAAAGCGUCCGUAGCCGGCCCGGUAAAAUGCCUGGGGUAAAUCGUGGAGCCCAACUUCACGAAUCCGGGUAGACUGCCGAGCUCGGGACCGGAAGAGGGGAGAGGGUACUUCAGGGGUAGGGGUGAAAAUUUCCUUUCCAUUAACGCUUUUGCGCGAAGCGGAAAGGGUUAUCACAAUCC
This 405-nucleotide ribosomal RNA is filed under the name uncultured microorganism. Its description in RNAcentral is "bacterial SSU rRNA". It matches the Rfam family "Archaeal small subunit ribosomal RNA", at positions 330 to 686 of the family's 1478-position model. The record is from RNAcentral.